Molecule: ribosomal RNA, 253 nt
Filed under: uncultured bacterium
Lineage: Bacteria
Description: partial 16S ribosomal RNA
Rfam family: Bacterial small subunit ribosomal RNA
Source: RNAcentral
UACGAAGGGGGCUAGCGUUGCUCGGAAUUACUGGGCGUAAAGCGCACGUAGGCGGCUUCUUAAGUCGGUGGUGAAAUCCUGGAGCUCAACUCCAGAACUGCCUUCGAUACUGGGAAGCUCGAGUCCGGGAGAGGUGAGUGGAACUGCGAGUGUAGAGGUGAAAUUCGUAGAUAUUCGCAAGAACACCGGUGGCGAAGGCGGCCUUCUGGACAGCAUCUGACGCUGAGACGCGAAAGCGUGGGGAGCAAACAGG